ACGGGAGGCAGCAGUGGGGAAUCUUCCGCAAUGGACGAAAGUCUGACGGAGCAACGCCGCGUGAGUGAUGAAGGCUUUCGGGUCGUAAAACUCUGUUGUUAGGGAAGAACAAGUGCUAGUUGAAUAAGCUGGCACCUUGACGGUACCUAACCAGAAAGCCACGGCUAACUACGUGCCAGCAGCCGCGGUAAUACA
This 195-nucleotide ribosomal RNA is filed under the name Bacillus sp. UM-M0.1S5. Its description in RNAcentral is "partial 16S rRNA". It matches the Rfam family "Bacterial small subunit ribosomal RNA", at positions 341 to 527 of the family's 1533-position model. Lineage: Bacteria; Bacillati; Bacillota; Bacilli; Caryophanales; Bacillaceae. The record is from RNAcentral.